UACAGAGGCCUCAAGCGUUGUUCGGAUUCAUUGGGCGUAAAGGGUGCGUAGGCGGCGCGGUAAGUCGGGUGUGAAAUCUCGGAGCUUAACUCCGAAACUGCAUUCGAUACUGCCGUGCUUGAGGACUGGAGAGGAGACUGGAAUUUACGGUGUAGCGGUGAAAUGCGUAGAUAUCGAGAGGAACACCUGCGGCGAAGGCGGGUUGCUGGGCUGACACUGACGCUGAGGCGCGAAAGCUAGGGGAGCGAACGGG
This 253-nucleotide ribosomal RNA is filed under the name uncultured bacterium. RNAcentral's name for it is "partial 16S ribosomal RNA". It matches the Rfam family "Bacterial small subunit ribosomal RNA", at positions 524 to 776 of the family's 1533-position model. The record is from RNAcentral.